GGAGCUGUGGCUGAGUGGCUGAAAGCGGCAGUUUGCUAAACUGUUUUAGGGGUUAAACCCUAACGGGGGUUCGAAUCCCCCCGGCUCCG
This 89-nucleotide transfer RNA is filed under the name Verrucomicrobium sp. GAS474. It matches the Rfam family "tRNA". Rfam says of the family: Transfer RNA (tRNA) molecules are approximately 80 nucleotides in length. Their secondary structure includes four short double-helical elements and three loops (D, anti-codon, and T loops). Further hydrogen bonds mediate the characteristic L-shaped molecular structure. tRNAs have two regions of fundamental functional importance: the anti-codon, which is responsible for specific mRNA codon recognition, and the 3' end, to which the tRNAs corresponding amino acid is attached (by aminoacyl-tRNA synthetases). tRNAs cope with the degeneracy of the genetic code in two manners: having more than one tRNA (with a specific anti-codon) for a particular amino acid; and 'wobble' base-pairing, i.e. permitting non-standard base-pairing at the 3rd anti-codon position. Lineage: Bacteria; Pseudomonadati; Verrucomicrobiota; Verrucomicrobiia; Verrucomicrobiales; Verrucomicrobiaceae. The record is from Rfam by way of RNAcentral.